GACGAACGCUGGCGGCGUGCUUAACACAUGCAAGUCGAACGGAAAGGCCCUGCUUUUGUGGGGUGCUCGAUUGGCGAACGGGUGAGUAACACGUGAGUAACCUGCCCUUGACUUUGGGAUAACUUCAGGAAACUGGGGCUAAUACCGGAUAGGAGCUCCUGCUGCAUGGUGGGUGUUGGAAAGUUUCGGCGGUUGGGGAUGGACUCGCGGCUUAUCAGCUUGUUGGUGGGGUAGUGGCUUACCAAGGCUUUGACGGGUAGCCGGCCUGAGAGGGUGACCGGCCACAUUGGGCCUGAGAUACGGCCCAGACUCCUAAGGGCGGCAGCAGUGCGGAAUAUUGCACAAUGGGAGGAAGCCUGAUGCAGCAACGCCGCGUGCGGGAUGACGGCCUUCGGGUUGUAAACCGCUUUCGCCUGUGACGAAGCGUGAGUGACGGUAAUGGGUAAAGAAGCACCGGCUAACUACGUG
RNAcentral lists this ribosomal RNA (468 nucleotides) under uncultured bacterium. RNAcentral describes it as "partial 16S ribosomal RNA". It matches the Rfam family "Bacterial small subunit ribosomal RNA", at positions 28 to 507 of the family's 1533-position model. The record is from RNAcentral.